CCUACGGGAGGCAGCAGUGAGGAAUAUUGGUCAAUGGACGAGAGUCUGAACCAGCCAAGUAGCGUGAAGGAUGACUGCCCUAUGGGUUGUAAACUUCUUUUAUAAAGGAAUAAAACGAGGCACGUGUGCCUUUUUGCAUGUACUUUAUGAAUAAGGAUCGGCUAACUCCGUGCCAGCAGCCGCGGUAAUACGGAGGAUCCGAGCGUUAUCCGGAUUUAUUGGGUUUAAAGGGAGCGUAGAUGGGUUGUUAAGUCAGUUGUGAAAGUUUGCGGCUCAACCGUAAAAUUGCAAUUGAUACUGGCAGUCGUGAGUACAGUUGAGGUAAGCGGAAUUCGUGGUGUAGCGGUGAAAUGCUUCGAUAUCACGAAGAACCCCGAUUGCGAAGGCAGCUUACUAAACUGUGACUGACAUUGAUGCUCGAAAGUGUGGGUAUCAAACAGGAUUAGAUACCCGAGUAGUC
Molecule: ribosomal RNA, 460 nt
Filed under: uncultured bacterium
Lineage: Bacteria
Description: partial 16S ribosomal RNA
Rfam family: Bacterial small subunit ribosomal RNA
Source: RNAcentral